AGCGAACGCUGGCGGCAGGCUUAACACAUGCAAGUCGAGCGGGCACUUUCGGGUGUCAGCGGCGGACGGGUGAGUAACGCGUGGGAACGUGCCCUCUGGUUCGGAAUAACUCAGGGAAACUUGAGCUAAUACCGGAUACGCCCUUUUGGGGAAAGGCUUGCUGCCGGAGGAUCGGCCCGCGUCUGAUUAGCUAGUUGGUGAGGUAACGGCUCACCAAGGCGACGAUCAGUAGCUGGUCUGAGAGGAUGAUCAGCCACAUUGGGACUGAGACACGGCCCAGACUCCUACGGGAGGCAGCAGUGGGGAAUAUUGGACAAUGGGCGCAAGCCUGAUCCAGCCAUGCCGCGUGAGUGAUCAAGGCCUUAGGGUUGUAAAGCUCUUUUAUCCGGGACGAUAAUGACGGUACCGGAGGAAUAAGCCCCGGCUAACUUCGUG
RNAcentral lists this ribosomal RNA (435 nucleotides) under uncultured bacterium. Its description in RNAcentral is "partial 16S ribosomal RNA". It matches the Rfam family "Bacterial small subunit ribosomal RNA", at positions 29 to 507 of the family's 1533-position model. The record is from RNAcentral.